RNA transcript from Carassius auratus (goldfish), 822 nucleotides. RefSeq lists it as uncharacterized. The transcript has 3 exons. Lineage: Eukaryota; Metazoa; Chordata; Actinopteri; Cypriniformes; Cyprinidae. The record is from RefSeq and is a predicted model, not a curated record.
AACAGAAAGAGAGCUAGCAGACAUGCUAGUGAAAACAUAUUAGGCCCACAGGUUUUCUCAGUCGCUUCGGUACAUUUCUCGAAUCAUCCUUGAGAUUUGCAAAACAGCCUGGUGCAACCAGGACUCGAUAUUCCCAGACGCCCUUCACUCCAGCACCGGGAAACCACGGACCCUGGGCGCAUCUACAGUGGACAACGCGAGCCAGGCCCUGGGUGACGACUUCGCCCCCUCCAGUCUUUGAGAUCUCCACCCAGAAGUGCUUCACUCCCCUCCCUGGGACGGAACCCGAUGCUGUGAUCAUAGGAGACUCCUUCGUCCAACAAGUCCAUGCUAUGCUAGCCGAAAGUUAACGAACACACUCACGGUUUCCCUAUUGUACGUGUUCUCUAUGUUUCUGUGCAGAUACCUGCGAUCCUGACGGCUGACGAGAGCCCAAGAGUGGUCAUGCUUCACGCCAGGGUUAAUGACACAAUGCUGAGGCAGAUGGACACACUGAAGAGGGACUUCAGGAGCCUGAUCGAGGCAAUGAUCAUCGUGUCAGGACCACUGCCCACAUGUCGACGAGGACAUGAAAGGUUGAGUAGACUUUUUGCUUUAGAUGAAUGGUUAUUGUCAUGGUGUAAAGAACAGAAACUGCUCUUUGUUAAUAAUUGGAAUCUUUUCUGGGAGUGUCCUUGGCUUUUUCGUGCUGAUGGCCUGCAUCUCACCAGAGUCGGAGCGGAACUCCUAUCAGACAGCAUCUCCAGAAGACUUCGCUCCAUAUGACUUCUGAAAAGACGUAAAGGCAGUCAGCCCAGUGGUGUUUCUGGAGAGGGAUUCCUU